This 141-nucleotide ribosomal RNA is filed under the name uncultured freshwater bacterium. Its description in RNAcentral is "partial 16S ribosomal RNA". It matches the Rfam family "Bacterial small subunit ribosomal RNA", at positions 338 to 496 of the family's 1533-position model. The record is from RNAcentral.
CCUACGGGAGGCAGCAGUGGGGAAUCUUGCGCAAUGGGCGAAAGCCUGACGCAGCAACGCCGCGUGCGGGAAGAAGGCUUUCGGGCUGUAAACCGCUUUCAGUAGGAACGAAACUGACGGUACCUACAGAGAGAUCGCUUG